AGCGUUUUAUCUCAAUCGGUAGAGAGUUGUGCUACGGACACAACAGUUGUAAGUUCGAGUCUUAUAUUCGCUU
RNAcentral lists this transfer RNA (73 nucleotides) under Golovinomyces cichoracearum. It matches the Rfam family "tRNA". From Rfam's summary of the family: Transfer RNA (tRNA) molecules are approximately 80 nucleotides in length. Their secondary structure includes four short double-helical elements and three loops (D, anti-codon, and T loops). Lineage: Eukaryota; Fungi; Ascomycota; Leotiomycetes; Helotiales; Erysiphaceae. RNAcentral also lists the same sequence under 3 other names. The record is from Rfam by way of RNAcentral.